AUGUCUUCCUCUGCCACAUCCCACUCAAGCCUCAAUGGCCAGGUUCCGGAGCAACUCUCUCGCACAAACUAUGUGCUCUGGCGUACACAGAUCACGCCUCAGCUGAGAGGGGCAGGUCUCUUUGGCUAUGCCGAUGGCACCAUGCCAGAACCAGCGCGCCUUCUCGUCACCAAAGACAAGGACGGGAAAGAGACUUCCGAGCCCAACCCUCUCCACCCCAUCUGGGUCAGGGAGGACUAGUAGGUGCUCAGCUACCUGCUCAGCAAUCUCUCCAAGGAGGUGCUGAUCACGGUGACCGCAAUCACCACCGCGCACGGCCUCUGGUCGGCGCUGGUGGGCAUGUUUUCAUCGCAGUCUCUAAGCCGCUUCAACAACAUCCACACCGCCCUCACCAAUGCUCAGAAGGGAAACCAAUCUGUCGCCGCCUACUUCGCCUUCAUGCGUGGCCUCGCCGAUGAACUCGCCGCGGCGGGCAAACCCAUCCAGGAUGACGAGCUCAUCUCUUACAUCCUUCACGAGCUGGACAUAUAUUACCAGCCCCUGGCCUUAGCUCUCGACGCCCGCGUGAUACGUCUCCAACGUAUCUAUAAUUUUUGA
RNAcentral lists this ribosomal RNA (597 nucleotides) under Triticum aestivum (bread wheat). RNAcentral describes it as "partial small subunit ribosomal RNA". The record is from RNAcentral. Lineage: Eukaryota; Viridiplantae; Streptophyta; Magnoliopsida; Poales; Poaceae.